UAGUGGGGGAUAACCUGGGGAAACUCAGGCUAAUACCGCAUACGUCCUACGGGAGAAAGCAGGGGAUCUUCGGACCUUGCGCUAUCGGAUGAGCCUAUGUCGGAUUAGCUAGUUGGUGAGGUAACGGCUCACCAAGGCCGCGAUCCGUAGCUGGUCUGAGAGGAUGAUCAGCCACAUCGGGACUGAGACACGGCCCGAACUCCUACGGGAGGCAGCAGUGGGGAAUAUUGGACAAUGGGCGAAAGCCUGAUCCAGCCAUGCCGCGUGUGUGAAGAAGGCCUUCGGGUUGUAAAGCACUUUCAGUGGGGAAGAAAUCCUCAGGGCCAAUACCCCUGAGGGAGGACAUCACCCACAGAAGAAGCACCGGCUAACUCCGUGCCAGCAGCCGCGGUAAUACGGAGGGUGCAAGCGUUAAUCGGAAUUACUGGGCGUAAAGCGCGCGUAGGCGGCGUGAUCAGCCGGUUGUGAAAGCCCCGGGCUCAACCUGGGAACGGCAUCCGGAACUGUCACGCUAGAGUGCAGGAGAGGAAGGUAGAAUUCCCGGUGUAGCGGUGAAAUGCGUAGAGAUCGGGAGGAAUACCAGUGGCGAAGGCGGCCUUCUGGACUGACACUGACGCUGAGGUGCGAAAGCAUGGGUAGCAAACAGGAUUAGAUACCCUGGUAGUCCAUGCCGUAAACGAUGUCGACUAGCCGUUGGGGUCCUUGUGACCUUUGUGGCGCAGUUAACGCGAUAAGUCGACCGCCUGGGGAGUACGGCCGCAAGGUUAAAACUCAAAUGAAUUGACGGGGGCCCGCACAAGCGGUGGAGCAUGUGGUUUAAUUCGAUGCAACGCGAAGAACCUUACCUACUCUUGACAUCGUGCGAACUUUCCAGAGAUGGAUUGGUGCCUUCGGGAACGCACAGACAGGUGCUGCAUGGCCGUCGUCAGCUCGUGUUGUGAAAUGUUGGGUUAAGUCCCGUAACGAGCGCAACCCCUAUCCCUAUUUGCCAGCGAUUCGGUCGGGAACUCUAGGGAGACUGCCGGUGACAAACCGGAGGAAGGUGGGGAUGACGUCAGGUCAUCAUGGCCCUUACGAGUAGGGCUACACACGUGCUACAAUGGCCGGUACAAAGGGUUGCGAAGCCGCGAGGUGUAGCUAAUCCCGAAAAGCCGGUCUCAGUCCGGAUCGGAGUCUGCAACUCGACUCCGUGAAGUCGGAAUCGCUAGUAAUCGUGAAUCAGAAUGUCACGGUGAAUACGUUCCCGGGCCUUGUACACACCGCCCGUCACACCAUGGGAGUGGACUGCACCAGAAGUGGUUAGCUUAACCUUCGGGAGAGCGAUCACCACGGUGUGGCUCAUGACUGGGGUGAAGUCGUAACAAGGUAGCCGUAGGGGAACCUGCGGCUGGAUCACCUCCUUA
RNAcentral lists this ribosomal RNA (1403 nucleotides) under Halomonas sp. LES1. RNAcentral describes it as "bacterial SSU rRNA". It matches the Rfam family "Bacterial small subunit ribosomal RNA". The record is from RNAcentral. Lineage: Bacteria; Pseudomonadati; Pseudomonadota; Gammaproteobacteria; Oceanospirillales; Halomonadaceae.